RNAcentral lists this long non-coding RNA (994 nucleotides) under Ficedula albicollis (Collared flycatcher). RNAcentral describes it as "lncRNA (ENSFALG00000024045.1)". Lineage: Eukaryota; Metazoa; Chordata; Aves; Passeriformes; Muscicapidae. The record is from RNAcentral.
CAGAAUAGCUUAUUUUAUCUUCUUGCUGUGUGCAGCAGCAAUGUCUGUCAUGGUGCUUUCCCAGUAGCCACAAAUUAAAGCAUGCCACUUAAGCAGAGUGAUCGUGUGAGUGUCACCCUCAGCACCUGAGGCUCAACCUGGUGUUUCUUCUCUGGCUGUUAGAGGACCCGAGGUUAUUACUGACAAGGUAGCUCAGACAAUAAAUAGAUACGAAUGUACCUUUUUCUACAUGCAACGAGAAAUUUUGAAAGGACCUAAACCACAGCUGAAGACAAAAGCAGGCUAAUGUAAUGAAUGGGAAAGAACCGUGAACAGCUCUGGGACUUGUGUGUAGAUUAUCUGUCUGGCAGGAUAUUCACUGGUCCUUUUGGUUUGUUUUCCUAUUAACUAAAGGCAAAGCUGAACAAUUACUUCCCUGCGUGUUGCUCUGUGCCUGCAUCGCGCUCCUGUCCCCACUGCACUCCCCUGGUGCUGGCAGCACGGGUGGUUAAUAUUAGCCACAUAGCUGAUUGUCCCGGUUGGUGCCCUGCAACAGCUGCGGGACGGCCGCCCGUGCUGGAAUCCCGCCCGGACCGAUGCUGGUGCUGGCACAAGCCCUUCCCAUUAUAUCAGGAAGGACCAUGUCCCGUUGCCACGAUGCGCCGGCACCCCAGGCUGGCCCCAGCUGUCUGCGGGACGUGGAGCAGGACGACAAGCACCCAGGGAGGCUGCUGCAGGAAGAAGCACACUGUGAUUGCUCUGAAGUGGGAAGACGGGAGGUUCCUGGAUGGGACUUACAGCUGUCUCUAUGAGGUGACUGUCACCCUACAGGGAGAGAGGCCAUUUCCAAGGAAGAAGGACAGACUCCUACAUGCAGGCAAGAGUACCUUUGCUCAUUCAGAGACAUUUGCUAAGUGGACAGAGUUCCCCAGAAUUUAUUUAAUUUUCAUGAGCAUUCACGAAAACUAAAACAGAUUUUAAAUGCAUCAAAGCUGCUAUUUGCUAUUAGCCCAAA